Lontra canadensis (Northern American river otter) is the source of this 332-nucleotide long non-coding RNA. RefSeq lists it as uncharacterized. NCBI's taxonomy places the organism in Eukaryota, Metazoa, Chordata, Mammalia, Carnivora, Mustelidae. The transcript is spliced from 4 exons. The record is from RefSeq and is a predicted model, not a curated record.
AGGAAAAAGACUAAAUUAUCAAGUGAACAAAAUAAAGAAGAUUCAUAUUAUGAUUGGUAAAAUAAACGAAUUAACAAUGAGACAUGAUACAAGUGACUGUUAGAAGACACAUGGACAGUUUAGUAACAGAGAUUUUAAAAUAAAAUAAACAUUUUCAAUGGAGAUGAUGAAAUCAGUGCAGACAAGGCUGCUUUUAUUUAAAAAGAGGAAUGAAAAGCAUGCUUUUUAAGCUAGUGGAUUGACAAACAGAGUCCAAGGUUUUAAAAGAUCUGGCUGUUGUCCGACUGAUUUAAAGAGAGACAGUGAGAGAGGGAAUACAAGCAGGGUGAGUG